RNAcentral lists this ribosomal RNA (492 nucleotides) under uncultured bacterium. RNAcentral's name for it is "partial 16S ribosomal RNA". It matches the Rfam family "Bacterial small subunit ribosomal RNA", at positions 29 to 507 of the family's 1533-position model. The record is from RNAcentral.
AGUGAACGCUGGCGGUAGGCCUAACACAUGCAAGUCGAACGGCAGCACAGUAAGAGCUUGCUCUUACGGGUGGCGAGUGGCGGACGGGUGAGGAAUACAUCGGAAUCUACUUUUUCGUGGGGGAUAACGUAGGGAAACUUACGCUGAUACCGCAUACGACCUACGGGUGAAAGCAGGGGAUCUUCGGACCUUGCGCGAUUGAAUGAGCCGAUGUCGGAUUAGCUAGUUGGCGGGGUAAAGGCCCACCAAGGCGACGAUCCGUAGCUGGUCUGAGAGGAUGAUCAGCCACACUGGAACUGAGACACGGUCCAGACUCCUACGGGAGGCAGCAGUGGGGAAUAUUGGACAAUGGGCGCAAGCCUGAUCCAGCCAUACCGCGUGGGUGAAGAAGGCCUUCGGGUUGUAAAGCCCUUUUGUUGGGAAAGAAAAGUAGCAGGUUAAUACCCCGCUGUUCUGACGGUACCCAAAGAAUAAGCACCGGCUAACUUCGUG